CCGGUACCGGUUCACGCUGCGCGUGCGCGGCGACCCGGCGACC
This is a regulatory RNA element of Stackebrandtia nassauensis DSM 44728, 43 nucleotides long. It matches the Rfam family "L31-Actinobacteria ribosomal protein leader". The record is from Rfam. Lineage: Bacteria; Bacillati; Actinomycetota; Actinomycetes; Glycomycetales; Glycomycetaceae.